AGGGAUGUAGCUCAGUGGUAGAGCACUUGCCUAACAUGUGCAAGUUCCUGGCCUGGAUUCUAUCCCAGCACUGCAA
This 76-nucleotide transfer RNA is filed under the name Marmota monax (woodchuck). RNAcentral's name for it is "tRNA.Val". The record is from RNAcentral. Lineage: Eukaryota; Metazoa; Chordata; Mammalia; Rodentia; Sciuridae.